ACACUUACCUGGCAGGGGAGAUACCAUGAUCACGAGGGUGGUUUUCCCAGGGCGAGGCUUAUCCAUUGCACUCUGGAUGUGCUGACCCCUGCGAUUUCCCCAAAUGUGGGAAACCAGACUGCAUAAUUUGUGGUAGUGGGGGACUGCGUUCACGCUUUCCCCUG
RNAcentral lists this small nuclear RNA (164 nucleotides) under Cebus imitator (Panamanian white-faced capuchin). RNAcentral's name for it is "U1 spliceosomal RNA (ENSCCAG00000016853.1)". It matches the Rfam family "U1 spliceosomal RNA". From Rfam's summary of the family: U1 is a small nuclear RNA (snRNA) component of the spliceosome (involved in pre-mRNA splicing). Its 5' end forms complementary base pairs with the 5' splice junction, thus defining the 5' donor site of an intron. There are significant differences in sequence and secondary structure between metazoan and yeast U1 snRNAs, the latter being much longer (568 nucleotides as compared to 164 nucleotides in human). The record is from Rfam by way of RNAcentral. Lineage: Eukaryota; Metazoa; Chordata; Mammalia; Primates; Cebidae.